AGGAUUAACGCUGGCGGCGUGCCUAACACAUGCAAGUCGAACGAGGUAGCAAUACCUAGUGGCAGACGGGUGAGUAGCGCGUGGUCAACCUACCGUUGAGUGGGGGAUAACUAGCCGAAAGGUUAGCUAAUACCGCAUACGUCUCCGAGGGGCAUCCCUUGGUGAUAAAAGGAGCAAUCCGCUCGAUGACGGGACCGCGUCCCAUUAGCUAGUUGGUGGGGUAACGGCCUACCAAGGCAUCGAUGGGUAGCUGGUUUGAGAGAGCGACCAGCCACACUGGGACUGAGAUACGGCCCAGACUCCUACGGGAGGCAGCAGUGAGGAAUUUUCCGCAAUGGGCGAAAGCCUGACGGAGCGACGCCGCGUGUGGGAAGAAGGCCUUCGGGUCGUAACCACUGUCGAAGGGAAGAUAAUGACGGUACCCUUGGAGGAAGCCCCGGCUAACUACGCGCCAGCAGCCGC
Molecule: ribosomal RNA, 462 nt
Filed under: uncultured bacterium
Lineage: Bacteria
Description: SSU rRNA
Rfam family: Bacterial small subunit ribosomal RNA
Source: RNAcentral